Long non-coding RNA from Entelurus aequoreus (snake pipefish), 2910 nucleotides. RefSeq lists it as uncharacterized. The transcript is spliced from 3 exons. The record is from RefSeq and is a predicted model, not a curated record. Lineage: Eukaryota; Metazoa; Chordata; Actinopteri; Syngnathiformes; Syngnathidae.
UUGUAAACAAACAUAAGGCAAGACGACUACUAGUAAAACAAGCCAGCUAGCAAUAAUACGAAUUAUCGUUGAGCAGCUCGCUCGGGGAGGGAAGAAGCGGGACGGAUGAAUGAUUGCCAGCCGAGAGGAGGAGGCGGAUGUUUGAAGACGUUAAACCGACACCAGGAAACACAACCACAAUCACCGCGGAGAUUUAUUUAGUAAGGACCGAGAACUAAAUACCGCAUCUUCAGUCAUUUUGUUGGUUAAAAUGGCGAUAUAUGAGGGCAACGUUACACAGGGGAGCCGUCGACGCGAAAGAGAGCACGCACAGGGCGAAAGCAUAAGCCAUAAGAAAAUAAUGGCUCACAAUCAUCUUAAGAGUAUCAGUUUAUGGAAUCUGAAUUGAACUAAUGUUACACAGGUAUCAUUACCUUUAGCGAAAACAUCCAUUUCAUUGAGCACAGCACGACGGUGACCACCAUCACGUGAUUUAAAGAAAGAUGAUCCAAAAAGGGAGAGCCUUACCUUUUGGAAGACUUUCAAGCAAUAUACAUAUAUAUAUAUAUAUAUAUAUAUAUAUAUAUACACAUGCACCUUGCAAGCGUUGCCUCUCGGUUUGCUCCCAAAUGUAUAAUUCCUCUACCGAUGUCUCCUUUAAAUAAGGAAAUCCCCACUAGACUAGAAUCGUCCUCACCGAAAAUCUGGUUCAGGCGCAAUGCAAGACGUGUCAAUCAUCGCCAUGACCCGCCCCAUACAGUAAAAAAUGUCUUGUAUCACUCUCCCAUUGGCUGACAGGCAUUACUGUAUUAAAAGGUGUGAUAUGAUUGGUCAGUCAACUUAGAGGGGGUUGUUCCACGCGUAUGUGGCUUUGCUUAGUGUGGCGCUCUAGCACCUCCUAAGGAACACUGAUUGUCACUGCAGCCUGUUUGAUGAUACUUGACAUUACAACACAGCAGAAUUGAGCUAAUAAUAAAACAAUACAUUUUCCACAGAAUCCUCAAACAGAAUAGCAAUGGUUAUGAAGAUAUAUGGAAAGCGAUUUUUUUUCCCACUUCACCACUCGCUGUCUGUCACACACAGCCAGAUUACAGGAGCUUAAUUGGUUUAUAAUGGAAGGCCAAUUGGUGUUUACAUCCUCGUCGUAAGACAAGACAUAAUCAAGUAAAAAUCCCAAAUGACAUUUAAUAUCAUAAAAAAACAAAUGUGUGAGGAUAAGCAUGAUAUAAUUAUCUUAAAUGCAUGUUUAGCGUACAAAGAGAAGCGAGUAUGGGUUGGGUUUUUUUGCAGUGGACUCACCAUUUGUUGAGCAUUGUACAUUCAGCAGAUGAGCACAGGCGUUCAGGCAUAAACAAAAGGACAGACAAUCAGAAACAUUAGUAUUUUAUAUGCUGCAUCUGCUAAAAUUGCAAAAACGGUUACAUGCAAAACAAUAGUGUAAAAGUGAGGCAAAAGGUCAAUUUUUGUUAUGUUUUCAUGCAAUAUGGCUUAUUCUUGGUGAUACACAUGACUAAUACCUAGUCUAUUCAUGACUAACACACAUUUUUCUUAGCGUGAUAGCAAACCACCUCAAUAUCAAGGUGUGUGAAAACGUAGCUAAAGUUUACUUAUAGACACUCAGGAGCAAACAAAAUACUACCCCCUUGUCAUCUUUGUAGCCUUUAAGUGUGUUUAAAACCACUGUAUUUAACACAGGCCUAGUUAUUCACAUAGCUUUUACAUGUAUUGUGACAAUGCCAGGCAGAUCAUGCACAAUGAAGUACAAAAUGUGACAGUUGUAGUACUUACACAUGCACUAAAGUUAAAAACUAAAGCAUACAGAGCUCUGCAAAUAAUCCCUGGGGCAUGUCUACUUGUCUACAACAGACAUAAACAAUGUUAAAUACAAGAGUACCUGCUUGUCAGAGGUCCUUCAUUGCAAGAAUAGUUCCCACACAGAGAUUAGCACAGUAGAUACAACUAAUAAGCCUGCCCUGAUCUGGAAGGAUCUCCACUCCCUCUGCCCCUUUUUGUCCCCCCCCCCCCCCCCUAACCCUCUCUCCUCCCCGUAUAACAACACCCAUAGGCGUCAACGCCAACCACACUUUCAGCUGUAAACCCACAGAUUUGUGCAGCGAGUGACACCCCAAACUGUCCUUCCUUCAACGCCGGGAAGCGCACUCAAGUCAUGCUGGCGGCAGAUCACGGCAGCACAGAUUCUCUUAAGGGGAGGGGUGGGAGGAUUAGUAGUGGUUAGAGUUCUCCUGAGGGGAAUUACCCCGACGCUGCCAUCUGGACAUCGGCCAUGCUUGCCCGUGUUCAGCCAUCCCUGGAGGAACAGGCGUCUUAUCACGCAGCUAUGUUCAAAAGAAUCUUUGUUUAAAAGGCAGUAAAUUUGGCGGCAAGCAGAAUGAACCGCAGCCUGAGAUUGAUGAUGCCCUGAUGCUACUGAGACAUGCUGGUGCCAAUAGAUGCCUGCUAGCAGGAAAAGAGCCUUUCUCAGUAAUAUUUAGUAGGAUUUAGCAUGAAAAUAAAGGGAACACAAAAUAAUCAUUUAAACUCCAAGUCAAUUUUAAUACUUUUGACCCUCUGAAAAUAGAGGUACUUUUACUCCCUAAAAAUGUCACGGCGCAUGCGCAAUCCCACACGUCAUCUGCAGCAAGCUUUGCCGGCACCUCCACUAGAGGCGCGCCAGGACACGCCCCUGCUCGCUCUGCACGCAUCGCGGCCACACGCCAGCAAGGCUGCAGGCAAUCCUAUAUCUGCGCACCUGGGGCUAAUGAAGACAGACGGCAUAAAGACCAGCGGACCCGAAGAUCCAGUGCCGGAACGUAGUUCACUCCCGUACCCCGACCGUUUGCCUGCCCAAGGACUGCCUUCUCGCCUAACCCCUUUGGUCUGAUGAAGGAUUCAUCCAACAUGCACAUACAACAACCUCUGGUAACAUUCACA